UACGUAGGGUGCGAGCGUUGUCCGGAAUUAUUGGGCGUAAAGAGCUCGUAGGCGGUCUGUCGCGUCGAUCGUGAAAACUUGGGGCUUAACCCUGAGCUUGCGGUCGAUACGGGCAGUGACUGGAGUUCGGCAGGGGAGACUGAAUUCCUGGUGUAGCGGUGAAAUGCGCAGAUAUCAGGAGGAACACCGGUGGCGAAGGCGGGUCUCUGGACCGGUUCUGACGCUCAGGCGCGAAAGCGUGGGGAGCGAUCCGG
Molecule: ribosomal RNA, 254 nt
Filed under: uncultured bacterium
Lineage: Bacteria
Description: partial 16S ribosomal RNA
Rfam family: Bacterial small subunit ribosomal RNA
Source: RNAcentral